GUUCUCAGCUUCCUGACCCAUCAGAUUUAACCGCUGCUCUGAGUGGUUACAAAAGGAGGAAAACUAAAACGGAAACUGACUUCAAUUCUUUGGUGACACAUGGGCAGUUUAAAAAAAAA
RNAcentral lists this small nucleolar RNA (119 nucleotides) under Echinops telfairi (small Madagascar hedgehog). RNAcentral describes it as "Small nucleolar RNA SNORA61 (ENSETEG00000026304.1)". Lineage: Eukaryota; Metazoa; Chordata; Mammalia; Afrosoricida; Tenrecidae. The record is from RNAcentral.